Molecule: ribosomal RNA, 1278 nt
Filed under: Chaetocnema pelagica
Lineage: Eukaryota; Metazoa; Arthropoda; Insecta; Coleoptera; Chrysomelidae
Description: 16S ribosomal RNA
Rfam family: Archaeal large subunit ribosomal RNA (bases 1069-1227)
Source: RNAcentral
UUAAAAAGAUAAUUUUAAAUAAUUUAAUUUGAAAUUUAAUUAUUAUUGUUAUUAUUAAUUUUAUAUUAAGUUUAAAGAAAUAUUUUUUUUUUAUUAAUUAUAUCAGAAAAAAUUUAUUUAAUUAUAGUUUAUAGUAUUGUGAAAGAAUAAAUUAUUUUAUUAAAAAGAAAAUUUUAUUUUUUGUACCUUGUGUAUCAGGGUUUAUUAAUAUAAAAUUAAAAAUUUAAUAUUCUCGAAUUUAAAAGAGCUAAAAAUUUAUUAUUUUUAUUAUAGAAUAAAUAUUUUAAAUAAAUUUUUAGUAAUGAAAUGUUAUUCGUUUUUAAAUAUAUCUAGUUUUUUAAGAAAUAAAUUUAAUUUAGUUAUUAAUAAUAUAUUUUUAAUUUUUUAAAAUUAUAUUGUUAAUAAUAAAUGUAUGUAGGGAUGAGCUUAUAUAUUAAAAAUUAUUAAAUAAUAAGAAAUUAAAAAAUUUUAGGAUUAGAAAUUUUCAAAAUUAAAGUAUGUUAUAAUUAAUUUUAUAUAUUUAUAAUUUUUAUUUUUUAUAAAUUAUUUAUUAAAAUAUAAUUAAAAAUUUUAUAUAAUUAGAAAUAAUGAUAGAAUUAGUAUAAUUUUAUAUAUAAAUAAUUAUAUAAUUAAGGUUAAUUAAAGGAAUUCGGCAAAUUAUUUUCCACCUGUUUAUUAAAAACAUGGCCUUUUGUAAAUAAUUUAAGGUCUAACCUGCCCACUGAAGUUUUAAAGGGCCGCGGUAUUUUGACCGUGCUAAGGUAGCAUAAUCAUUAGUUUUUUAAUUGAAAGCUAGAAUGAAGGGUUGAAUGAGAAAAUUACUGUCUUUAAAUAAUUUAAUUAGAAUUUUAUUUUUAAGUUAAAAAGCUUAAAUUUUUUUAAAAGACGAGAAGACCCUAUAGAGUUUAAUAUAAAUUUUUAUAUUAAAAUUUAGAAUUUAUUUUUUUUAUUUAAAAUUGUAUUUAAUUGGGGUGAUUAAAAAAUUUAUUAAACUUUUUUUUUAUUUUUAUAUUAAUUAAUAAAUAUAUGAUCCAAUUUUUUUUGAUUAUAAGAUUAAAUUACCUUAGGGAUAACAGCGUAAUUUUAUUAGAGAGUUCUAAUCGAUAAUAAAGAUUGCGACCUCGAUGUUGGAUUAAAAUUUAUAUUUGGUGUAGAAGCUGAAUUAUUAAGUCUGUUCGACUUUUAGAAUUUUACAUGAUCUGAGUUUAAACCGGUGUAAGCCAGGUUGGUUUCUAUCUUUAAAUAAUUAAUAUAUUUUAGUACGAAAGGACCAAAUAU